GAUGAACGCUGGCGGCGUGCCUAAUACAUGCAAGUCGAGCGAACAGACGAGGAGCUUGCUCCUCUGACGUUAGCGGCGGACGGGUGAGUAACACGUGGAUAACCUACCUAUAAGACUGGGAUAACUUCGGGAAACCGGAGCUAAUACCGGAUAAUAUAUUGAACCGCAUGGUUCAAUAGUGAAAGACGGUUUUGCUGUCACUUAUAGAUGGAUCCGCGCCGCAUUAGCUAGUUGGUAAGGUAACGGCUUACCAAGGCAACGAUGCGUAGCCGACCUGGGAGGGGGAUCGGGCACCCUGGAACUGGGACACCGGCCCGAACCCCACGGGAGGCAGCAGUAGGGAAUCUUUCGCAAUGGGGCAAAGGUUGACGGAGCAACGCCCGGGGAGUGAAGAAGGUUUUCCGAUCGUAAAACCCUUUUAUUAGGGAAAAACAAAAUGGGAAGGAAAUAUGCACGUCUUGACGGGACCUAAACAAAAAGCCCCCGCUAACCACGUG
RNAcentral lists this ribosomal RNA (497 nucleotides) under uncultured bacterium. Its description in RNAcentral is "partial 16S ribosomal RNA". It matches the Rfam family "Bacterial small subunit ribosomal RNA", at positions 28 to 507 of the family's 1533-position model. The record is from RNAcentral.